Molecule: ribosomal RNA, 1126 nt
Rfam family: Bacterial large subunit ribosomal RNA
GCAACUGUUUAGCAAAAACAUAGGUUUAUGCAAAACCGUAAGGUGAAGUAUAUGAGCUGACGCCUGCCCGGUGCUGGAAGGUUAAGAGGAGAUGUUAGAGCAAUCGAAGCAUUGAAUUGAAGCCCCAGUAAACGGCGGCCGUAACUAUAACGGUCCUAAGGUAGCGAAAUUCCUUGUCAGGUAAGUUCUGACCCGCACGAAAGGCGUAAUGUCUUUGGGCACUGUCUCAACAAUAGACUCGGUGAAAUCAUAUUACCGGUGAAAAUGCCGGUUACCCGCGAUUAGACGGAAAGACCCCAUGGAGCUUUACUGUAGCUUGAUAUUGAUAUUCGGUAAGUAAUGUACAGGAUAGGCGGGAGACUAUGAGACUAGGACGUCAGUCUUGGUGGAGUCGCCGUUGGGAUACCGCCCUUUGCUUAUUGAGUAUCUAACUAGCGUUAGUGGAUAACGAAGGACAGUGUCAGGUGGGCAGUUUGACUGGGGCGGUCGCCUCCUAAAGAGUAACGGAGGCGCUCGAAGGUUCCCUCAGAAUGGUUGGAAAUCAUUCGAAGAGUGUAAAGGCAGAAGGGAGCUUGACUGAAAGACCUACAAGUCGAUCAGGGACGAAAGUCGGACUUAGUGAUCUUGCGGUACCACGUGGAAGGGCCGUGACUCAACGGAUAAAAGCUACCCUGGGGAUAACAGGCUGAUCAUGCCCAAGCGUUCACAGCGACGGCAUGGUUUGGCACCUCGAUGUCGGCUCGUCGCAUCCUGGAGGUGGAGAAGCUUCCAAGGGUUGGGCUGUUCGCCCAUUAAAGCGGCACGCGAGCUGGGUUCAAAACGUCGUGAGACAGUUUGGUCCCUAUCUGUCGUGGGCGUUGGAAAUUUGAGGAGAGCUGUCCUUAGUACGAGAGGACCGGGAUGGACCCACCGCUGGUGCACCAGUUGGCCUGCCAGGGCCACAGCUGGGUAGCUAUGUGGGGACGGGAUAAACGCUGAAAGCAUCUAAGCGCGAAGCCCCCUUCAAGAUGAGAUUUCCCAACGAAAGUUGUAAGUUCCCUUAAAUACUAUGAGGUUGAUAGGCCAGGUGUGGAAGUGCAGUGAUGCAUGGAGCUGACUGGUACUAAUAGAACGAGGACUUAACCUA